This 468-nucleotide ribosomal RNA is filed under the name uncultured bacterium. RNAcentral describes it as "partial 16S ribosomal RNA". It matches the Rfam family "Bacterial small subunit ribosomal RNA", at positions 28 to 507 of the family's 1533-position model. The record is from RNAcentral.
GACGAACGCUGGCGGCGUGCUUAACACGUGCAAGUCGAACGGAAAGGCCCUGCUUUUGUGGGGUGCUCGAGUGGCGAACGGGUGAGUAACACGUGAGUAACCUGCCCUUGACUUUGGGAUAACUUCAGGAAACUGGGGCUAAUACCGGAUAGGAGCUCCUGCUGCAUGGGGGGGGUUGGAAAGUUUCGGCGGUUGGGGAUGGACUCGCGGCUUAUCAGCUUGUUGGUGGGGUAGUGGCUUACCAAGGCUUUGACGGGUAGCCGGCCUGAGAGGGUGACCGGCCACAAUGGGACUGAGGUACGGCCCAGACUCCUACGGGAGGCAGCAGUGGGGAAUAUUGCCCAAUGGGCGGAAGCCUGAUGCAGCAACGCCGCGUGCGGGAUGACGGCCUUCGGGUUGUAAACCGCUUUCGCCUGUGACGAAGCGUGAGUGACGGUAAUGGGUAAAGAAGCACCGGCUAACUACGUG